This 18-nucleotide ribosomal RNA is filed under the name Phytophthora nicotianae (black shank of tobacco agent). RNAcentral describes it as "Phytophthora parasitica partial 18S ribosomal RNA". RNAcentral also lists the same sequence under 14 other names. Lineage: Eukaryota; Oomycota; Peronosporomycetes; Peronosporales; Peronosporaceae. The record is from RNAcentral.
ACUGCGGAAGGAUCAUUA